CAUAGGCAGUGGCUUGGUUAAGGGAACGGAACCCACCGGAGCCGUAGCGAAAGCGAGUCUUAAUAGGGCGAUUGUCACUGCUUAUGGACCCGAACCUGGGUGAUCUAUCCAUUUCCAGGAUGAAGCUUGGAUGAAACUAAGCAGAGGUCCGAACCGACUGAUGUUGAAGAAUCAGCGGAUGAGUUGUGGUUAGGGGUGAAAUGCCACUCGAACCCAGAGCUAGCUGG
Molecule: ribosomal RNA, 227 nt
Filed under: Hordeum vulgare subsp. vulgare (domesticated barley)
Lineage: Eukaryota; Viridiplantae; Streptophyta; Magnoliopsida; Poales; Poaceae
Description: Bacterial large subunit ribosomal RNA
Rfam family: Bacterial large subunit ribosomal RNA
Source: Rfam by way of RNAcentral